GAAGAAGGUGUGGAGUUGCGCACUGUCAUUUAUAAAGUAAUUGUUAGAAUUCUUCGAUUUGUAGCAAAGCUUGACGAUGGCAGCAAGCAUCAAGUGGCCCAACAUGAUGUGGAGUUUGAGGUUAACAUGAAACGUUUUACGGUUGAAAAAAUGAUAGAACUCAUUGGGUCCAAAAUUGUUUGGGGGAGUGGGUAGGAGGUUCAUAUUUUGUGCAAGGACAAGCAUUUUGAAUCAGUUGAGAGGAUUGAUAACUACUGGAAGUUGCUGACAUCAUUUCUUGAGAGAUGGGAAGAGAAAGAAUUGCUU
RNAcentral lists this ribosomal RNA (306 nucleotides) under Triticum aestivum (bread wheat). Its description in RNAcentral is "partial small subunit ribosomal RNA". Lineage: Eukaryota; Viridiplantae; Streptophyta; Magnoliopsida; Poales; Poaceae. The record is from RNAcentral.